This 258-nucleotide ribosomal RNA is filed under the name Triticum aestivum (bread wheat). Its description in RNAcentral is "partial small subunit ribosomal RNA". Lineage: Eukaryota; Viridiplantae; Streptophyta; Magnoliopsida; Poales; Poaceae. The record is from RNAcentral.
AUGGCUACGGCGCUGCGCACCAUGGCCGCGAAGCUGAUGCAGAAGAUCCCCGCCGCUGUCCAGCGGGUUCGCGUCUCUUCUCGUGCUCCGGCACCUGCUGAUGCUGACUUCGACCGCUUCGGCCCAGAGUUUCGCCGGGCACUGGACAAGAUUGUAGAGAAACACAGGAAGAGGCGCAGGGACGAGGCCUUGGCCUGUGGUGCUGGCUUCAGUCUUGGAGCACUCACCUUUUUGCUUGGGGUCCAUCGGCUUGGUUGA